UACGAGGGGGGCAAGCGUUGUUCGGAAUUCUUGGGCGUAAAGGGUGCGUAGGCGGUUUUGUAAGUCUUGUGUGAAAUCUUCAGGCUCAACUUGAAGACUGCACGAGAAACUGCAGGGCUUGAGUGUGGGAGAGGUGAGUGGAAUUCCUGGUGUAGCGGUGAAAUGCGUAGAUAUCGGGAGGAACACCGGUGGCGAAGGCGGCCCCCUGGUUGGAUACUGACGCUGAGACGCGAAAGCGUGGGGAGCAAACAGG
This 253-nucleotide ribosomal RNA is filed under the name uncultured bacterium. Its description in RNAcentral is "partial 16S ribosomal RNA". It matches the Rfam family "Bacterial small subunit ribosomal RNA", at positions 524 to 776 of the family's 1533-position model. The record is from RNAcentral.